This 691-nucleotide non-coding RNA is filed under the name Blattisocius tarsalis. Lineage: Eukaryota; Metazoa; Arthropoda; Arachnida; Mesostigmata; Blattisociidae. The record is from RNAcentral.
GACAUAAAAAAAAAUAUGUGUUUAUUAAAAAAAUAUAAGUAUAUUAUAAUAAAUAUUAACUAAUUAAUGUGCCAGCAGUAGCGGUUAUACAUGAGAUAUGAUACUAUAUUAAGGGUAUAAUAAUAAUAUAUAUGAGUAAGAUAUGUUACUAUAAAAUGUUAUAAUUGAAAGGUGAAAUUUUAAUUAUAAUAAAUGUAUAGAAAUUUUGAUUUAUUUAUUAGUUUUGUAUAAGACUAGGAUUAGAUACCCUAUUAUGGGGACUAAAAAUUUAGUAGUAAGUGAGAAUCAUGAAACUAAAAAUUAUUGGCGGCUUUUAAAAAGUUUAGAGGAAUUUAUUCUAUAAUAGAUUUGACGCUAGGAUUUUAUUUUAGCUUGUAGAGUGUAACAAUUUGUAUAUCUCUAUUUAAAGAUAUUAAAAAUUAUUUUUAGGUAAUUAUUAAUUGAAGGGUUAUUAGGUCAAGGUGCAGUUAAUGCUAAAGAUUGAAAUAAAUUAUAUUAAUUUAUAUUUAUCAAGGGGGUAUUGUAAAAUAAGACUAAGAAAAAUUUAAUAGUAAAAUAAUUUUAAUAUAAUUUUUUGAAAAAUUAGAAUUAGAAGUGUACAUAUUGCCCGUCAUUCUCUUUAUGAGACAAGUCGUAACAAAGUAAGAUUACUGGAAAGUGAUUUUAUAUAUAUAUAAAAUAUAAUAUUGGU